UACGUAGGGUGCGAGCGUGUCCGGAAUUAUUGGGCGUAAAGAGCUCGUAGGCGGCUUGUCGCGUCGGAUGUGAAAACCCGGAGCUCAACUCCGGGCCUGCAGUCGAUACGGGCGGACUCGAGUUCGGCAGGGGAGACUGGAAUUCCUGGUGUAGCGGUGAAAUGCGCAGAUAUCAGGAGGAACACCGGUGGCGAAGGCGGGGUCUCUGGGCCGAUACUGACGUGAGGAGCGAAAGCGUGGGGAGCGAACAGG
RNAcentral lists this ribosomal RNA (252 nucleotides) under uncultured bacterium. RNAcentral's name for it is "partial 16S ribosomal RNA". It matches the Rfam family "Bacterial small subunit ribosomal RNA", at positions 524 to 776 of the family's 1533-position model. The record is from RNAcentral.